RNAcentral lists this ribosomal RNA (253 nucleotides) under uncultured bacterium. RNAcentral's name for it is "partial 16S ribosomal RNA". It matches the Rfam family "Bacterial small subunit ribosomal RNA", at positions 524 to 776 of the family's 1533-position model. The record is from RNAcentral.
UACGUAGGGGGCAAGCGUUGUCCGGAUUUAUUGGGCGUAAAGAGCUCGUAGGCGGCUUGUUGCGUCAGCUGUGAAAACCCGGGGCUCAACUCCGGGCCUGCAUUCGAUACGGGCAGACUAGAGUUCGGUAGGGGAGUCUGGAAUUCCUGGUGUAGCGGUGAAAUGCGCAGAUAUCAGGAGGAACACCGGUGGCGAAGGCGGGUCUCUGGGCCGAAACUGACGCUGAGGAGCGAAAGCGUGGGGAGCAAACAGG